ACUCCUACGGGAGGCAGCAGUGGGGAAUAUUGCACAAUGGGCGCAAGCCUGAUGCAGCCAUGCCGCGUGUGUGAAGAAGGCCUUCGGUUGUAAAGCACUUUCAGUCGUGAGGAAGGUGGUAGUGUUAAUAGCACUAUCAUUUGACGUUAGCGACAGAAGAAGCACCGGCUAACUCCGUGCCAGCAGCCGCGGUAAUACGGAGGGGUGCGAGCGUUAAUCGGAAUUACUGGGCGUAAAGCGCAUGCAGGUGGUUUGUUAAGUCAGAUGUGAAAGCCCGGGGCUCAACCUCGGAAUAGCAUUUGAAACUGGCAGACUAGAGUACUGUAGAGGGGGUAGAAUUUCAGGUGUAGCGGUGAAAUGCGUAGAGAUCUGAAGGAAUACCGGUGGCGAAAGGCGGCCCCCUGGACAGAUACUGACACUCAGAUGCGAAAGCGUGGGGAGCAAACAGGAUUAGAUACCCUGGUAGGACAGUG
Molecule: ribosomal RNA, 473 nt
Filed under: uncultured bacterium
Lineage: Bacteria
Description: bacterial SSU rRNA
Rfam family: Bacterial small subunit ribosomal RNA
Source: RNAcentral